GUGUGUGCUUUGGCAGCAGAAGUAUUAAAAUUGGAAAGAUACAGAGAAGAGUAGUAUGGAUGAUGUGUAAGAAAGAUCUAAAAAUUCAUGAAGCAGUCCAUAUUUUU
This 107-nucleotide small nuclear RNA is filed under the name Cervus elaphus hippelaphus. The record is from RNAcentral. Lineage: Eukaryota; Metazoa; Chordata; Mammalia; Artiodactyla; Cervidae.